CGCUCUCUAGCUCAGUCGGCAGAGCGCGCGGCCCAUAACCGCGAUGUCGCAGGUUCGAACCCUGCGGGAGCGACAA
Molecule: transfer RNA, 76 nt
Filed under: Cryobacterium breve
Lineage: Bacteria; Bacillati; Actinomycetota; Actinomycetes; Micrococcales; Microbacteriaceae
Also listed under: 1 other name
Description: Cryobacterium sp. TMT4-23 tRNA-Met
Rfam family: tRNA
About the family: Transfer RNA (tRNA) molecules are approximately 80 nucleotides in length. Their secondary structure includes four short double-helical elements and three loops (D, anti-codon, and T loops).
Source: RNAcentral